CCUACGGGUGGCUGCAGUGGGGAAUAUUGCACAAUGGGCGCAAGCCUGAUGCAGCCAUGCCGCGUGUGUGAAGAAGGCCUUCGGGUUGUAAAGCACUUUCAGCGGGGAGGAAGGCGGUGAGGUUAAUAACCUCAUCGAUUGACGUUACCCGCAGAAGAAGCGCCGGCUAACUCCGUGCCAGCAGCCGCGGUAAUACGGAGGGUGCAAGCGUUAAUCGGAAUUACUGGGCGUAAAGCGCACGCAGGCGGUCUGUCAAGUCGGAUGUGAAAUCCCCGGGCUCAACCUGGGAACUGCAUUCGAAACUGGCAGGCUAGAGUCUUGUAGAGGGGGGUAGAAUUCCAGGUGUAGCGGUGAAAUGCGUAGAGAUCUGGAGGAAUACCGGUGGCGAAGGCGGCCCCCUGGACAAAGACUGACGCUCAGGUGCGAAAGCGUGGGGAGCAAACAGGAUUAGAUACCCGGGUAGUC
This 465-nucleotide ribosomal RNA is filed under the name uncultured Klebsiella sp. RNAcentral's name for it is "bacterial SSU rRNA". It matches the Rfam family "Bacterial small subunit ribosomal RNA", at positions 338 to 795 of the family's 1533-position model. Lineage: Bacteria; Pseudomonadati; Pseudomonadota; Gammaproteobacteria; Enterobacterales; Enterobacteriaceae. The record is from RNAcentral.